CGUCAAAUCAUCAUGCCCCUUAUGUCCUGGGCUACACACGUGCUACAAUGGCCUGUACAGAGGGUUGCGAAGCCGUGAGGUGGAGCUAAUCCCAAAAAGCAGGUCUCAGUUCGGAUUGUAGGCUGCAACUCGCCUACAUGAAGUCGGAGUCGCUAGUAAUCGCAGGUCAGCAUACUGCGGUGAAUACGUUCCCGGGCCUU
Molecule: ribosomal RNA, 200 nt
Filed under: uncultured organism
Description: partial small subunit ribosomal RNA
Rfam family: Bacterial small subunit ribosomal RNA
Source: RNAcentral